CAAACCUGACAGAGAGACAGGUGGACUUCAGGUCCCACCCACAGGGCUGGCCCACGCUCCACACUGUUCUCCAUCAUAGCAAAGAAUGAUGCCCAAUGCAUUCAGCGAAUGGCUUGUGUGACAAACCAUAGAUGCCUGACUUCUGUGAGCAUCCGAGGCAAAAGUGGAAUUGCUGGGUCCUGCAGCCAUUCUACAGUUAACAUUUUAAAGAACCACCCUGGCCCAAUCUUAAGGCACGCCAAUACUUGUUGAACGAGUCUCGGCCUUUGGAGGUGCUGGCUCCGUGUUCUGGAGAGGGGUCCACAGACGUGGAUUUUUAACACAUGCCCAGCUCCAGCUCUUCAUCUGAGUCCAGUAAGAGGAUGACCUCAUCUUCUUUGUUCAGUUUGGAUGAAGAUUUCUGAGAUCUGGAACUUGAAUGGUCAGGAUUUGACUGGGUUAGGUCAAUUGACAGAGAUUUUUCUGGGGAC
Molecule: long non-coding RNA, 470 nt
Organism: Sapajus apella (tufted capuchin)
Lineage: Eukaryota; Metazoa; Chordata; Mammalia; Primates; Cebidae
Exons: 3
Source: RefSeq, a predicted model, not a curated record